Molecule: transfer RNA, 71 nt
Filed under: Candidatus Pacearchaeota archaeon CG1_02_39_14
Lineage: Archaea; Nanobdellati
Also listed under: 2 other names
Description: tRNA-His
Rfam family: tRNA
About the family: Transfer RNA (tRNA) molecules are approximately 80 nucleotides in length.
Source: RNAcentral
GUGGAUGUGGUGUAAUGGUAGCACGUCAGUCUGUGGCGCUGAAAGCGAGGGUUCGAUUCCCUCCUUCCACU